This 212-nucleotide ribosomal RNA is filed under the name uncultured bacterium. Its description in RNAcentral is "partial 16S ribosomal RNA". It matches the Rfam family "Bacterial small subunit ribosomal RNA", at positions 1291 to 1500 of the family's 1533-position model. The record is from RNAcentral.
GUUCGGACUGUAGGCUGCAACUCGCCUACACGAAGCUGGAAUCGUUAGUAAUCGCGGAUCAGCACGCCGCGGUGAAUACGUUCCCGGGCCUUGUACACACCGCCCGUCACACCAUGAGAGUCUGUAACACCCAAAGCCGGUGGGAUAACCUUUAUAGGAGUCAGCCGUCUAAGGUAGGACAGAUGAUUAGGGUGAAGUCGUAACAAGGUACC